UUGAUUCUGAUUAACUCGGUGCUCACGAGUUUACCUAUGUUUCUGUUAUCUUUCUUCGAAGUACCAGUUGGGGUGAGGAAAAGACUAGACUUUUAUCGUUCUCGCUUCUUCUGGCAGAGUGAUGAGUCUAAGAGGAAGUACAGAUUGGCCAAAUGGGAUAUUAUCUGCAGACCAAAGGACCAAGGAGGACUUGGUAUUGAAAAUCUUGAAGUCAAAAAUAAAUGCCUCCUGAGUAAGUGGCUGUUUAAGUUGUCUUCUGAGACAGAGGCAACUUGGGCGCAGAUUUUACGUAGUAAAUAUCUGUACUCAAAGACUUUAUCCCAAGUCACUCUGAGACCUACAGAUUCGUCGUUCUGGAAAGGGCUCAUGAGGGUUAAAGCCGCUUUCUUCAACAGAACGAAAUGUAUUGUUGGUAAUGGAGAUGAUACGCGAUUCUGGGAGGAUACGUGGCUGGGUGACGCGCCUUUGGCUUCACAAUAUCGAACACUAUAUCGUAUUGUUCAGCGUAGGGAUGCUCUUGUUGCCACAGUAAUGCAGUCUAUUCCUCUCAACAUACAGUUUAGGAGAGUUCUUGUUGGACCUAGAUGGGAAGCAUGGCUUCACUUGGUCCGUAGGCUGAUGGACGUGCAGCUAAAUCCUCAGCCCGACCAGUUGUAUUGGAAACUAACUAAAACCGGGGUGUUCACG
This 687-nucleotide ribosomal RNA is filed under the name Triticum aestivum (bread wheat). RNAcentral describes it as "partial small subunit ribosomal RNA". The record is from RNAcentral. Lineage: Eukaryota; Viridiplantae; Streptophyta; Magnoliopsida; Poales; Poaceae.